CAGUAGCCGCGGGAAUACGAAGAGGGCUAGCGUUGCUCGGAAUCACUGGGCGUAAAGGGUGCGUAGGCGGGUCUUUAAGUCAGGGGUGAAAUCCUGGAGCUCAACUCCAGAACUGCCUUUGAUACUGAAGAUCUUGAGUUCGGGAGAGGUGAGUGGAACUGCGAGUGUAGAGGUGAAAUUCGUAGAUAUUCGCAAGAACACCAGUGGCGAAGGCGGCUCACUGGCCCGACACUGACGCUGAGGCACGAGAGCGUGGGGAGCAAACAGGAUUAGAUACUCCUGUAGUCCCUGUCUCUUAUAC
Molecule: ribosomal RNA, 301 nt
Filed under: uncultured bacterium
Lineage: Bacteria
Description: partial 16S ribosomal RNA
Rfam family: Bacterial small subunit ribosomal RNA
Source: RNAcentral